Molecule: ribosomal RNA, 253 nt
Filed under: uncultured bacterium
Lineage: Bacteria
Description: partial 16S ribosomal RNA
Rfam family: Bacterial small subunit ribosomal RNA
Source: RNAcentral
UACGAAGGGGGCUAGCGUUGCUCGGAAUCACUGGGCGUAAAGGGUGCGUAGGCGGGUUUUUAAGUCAGAGGUGAAAUCCUGGAGCUCAACUCCAGAACUGCCUUUGAUACUGAAGAUCUUGAGUCCGGGAGAGGUGAGUGGAACUGCGAGUGUAGAGGUGAAAUUCGUAGAUAUUCGCAAGAACACCAGUGGCGAAGGCGGCUCACUGGCCCGGUACUGACGCUGAGGCACGAAAGCGUGGGGAGCAAACAGG